This is a non-coding RNA of Pangasianodon gigas (Mekong giant catfish), 80 nucleotides long. Lineage: Eukaryota; Metazoa; Chordata; Actinopteri; Siluriformes; Pangasiidae. The record is from the annotation of a GenBank genome assembly.
AGAUGGGUGGCUUAGUGGUUAAAGAGUUCUGACUGAACUAAUGAUCAGAAGGUUGUGGGUUCAAAUCCCGGGUCUGUUUU